GUCGAAUGCCGGCGCAGUGCUUCGCGACACCGGGCGGGUCGGAAAACCGCGUGCUUUCAGCAGGUUAUUGACGCGGCCGCCGGUCUUGCCGGUGCCGCCGAUGAUCAAAAUCGGGUUCCGAUGAGCCAUGAGAAACGUCCCUUCCAAAAAUACGAGGAUAUCUCGUAUUUGUAAAAAGCGAUAAACUCUCGUAUUAAUCCCGUCAAGCGAUUUUCGGCAGCGGGUGCGCGAUGGCGACGAAGAAAANNNNNNNNNNCCGGCGGGGCUCGCGCGUCUUGUGCCCACGCAGAAGCGCAGCCGCGAGCGCUAUGAAAAGA
RNAcentral lists this unclassified non-coding RNA (317 nucleotides) under Hevea brasiliensis (rubber tree). Lineage: Eukaryota; Viridiplantae; Streptophyta; Magnoliopsida; Malpighiales; Euphorbiaceae. The record is from RNAcentral.